GACGAACGCUGGCGGCGUGCCUAAUACAUGCAAGUAGAACGCUGAAGAGAAGAGCUUGCUCUUCUUGGAUGAGUUGCGAACGGGUGAGUAACGCGUAGGUAACCUGCCUGGUAGCGGGGGAUAACUAUUGGAAACGAUAGCUAAUACCGCAUAAAAUUGAUUAUUGCAUGAUAAUUAAUUGAAAGAUGCAAUUGCAUUACUACCAGAUGGACCUGCGUUGUAUUAGCUAGUUGGUGAGGUAACGGCUCACCAAGGCGACGAUACAUAGCCGACCUGAGAGGGUGAUCGGCCACACUGGGACUGAGACACGGCCCAGACUCCUACGGGAGGCAGCAGUAGGGAAUCUUCGGCAAUGGGGGGAACCCUGACCGAGCAACGCCGCGUGAGUGAAGAAGGUUUUCGGAUCGUAAAGCUCUGUUGUAAGAGAAGAACGGGUGUGAGAGUGGAAAGUUCACACUGG
RNAcentral lists this ribosomal RNA (460 nucleotides) under Streptococcus sanguinis. RNAcentral describes it as "bacterial SSU rRNA". It matches the Rfam family "Bacterial small subunit ribosomal RNA", at positions 28 to 472 of the family's 1533-position model. The record is from RNAcentral. Lineage: Bacteria; Bacillati; Bacillota; Bacilli; Lactobacillales; Streptococcaceae.